GAUGUUUAAGGAUCCAACUCCUCCUGAACAGGGACAUCUAUAGCCAGAUCGAGUUGCUCAGAUUUGUGCACAGCCCUUCAAAUACUGAAUGGUCAGAUCACAAAUUGUUGAAAGUUGCCUCCAUCCAGCAACAUCCUGCAGUAACUCCUGGCAGCUCUGGAGUUGGUGGUAAAGAGGUGCUGUGCCCCUACAGAGCCCGAAGGAUCUGCACAGAAAGGCUGUCUGCCCUGAGUCAGCUCUCUGCAGUCAGGUGCCCAUGGUGCGCUUCCCCAGCAGCAGAGGUGUGAGUGGCAAGAGAACAUGUAUGCCUGCAUGCCAGAACCAGCACCCAUGGAAACCUUGAUGAAAAGCUGGAGGACAGGAUGUGGAGAUGGACUUAAUGUACAAUAACAAGUUAUCAUGAUUCAUA
Molecule: non-coding RNA, 409 nt
Organism: Phasianus colchicus (ring-necked pheasant)
Lineage: Eukaryota; Metazoa; Chordata; Aves; Galliformes; Phasianidae
Source: RefSeq, a predicted model, not a curated record